RNAcentral lists this ribosomal RNA (460 nucleotides) under uncultured bacterium. RNAcentral describes it as "partial 16S ribosomal RNA". It matches the Rfam family "Bacterial small subunit ribosomal RNA", at positions 338 to 795 of the family's 1533-position model. The record is from RNAcentral.
CCUACGGGAGGCUGCAGUGAGGAAUAUUGGUCAAUGGGCGAGAGUCUGAACCAGCCAAGUAGCGUGAAGGAUGACUGCCCUAUGGGUUGUAAACUUCUUUUAUAUAGGAAUAAAGUGAUCCACGUGUGGGUUUUUGUAUGUACCAUAUGAAUAAGGAUCGGCUAACUCCGUGCCAGCAGCCGCGGUAAUACGGAGGAUCCGAGCGUUAUCCGGAUUUAUUGGGUUUAAAGGGAGCGUAGAUGGGUUGUUAAGUCAGUUGUGAAAGUUUGCGGCUCAACCGUAAAAUUGCAGUUGAAACUGGCAGUCUUGAGUACAGUAGAGGUGGGCGGAAUUCGUGGUGUAGCGGUGAAAUGCUUAGAUAUCACGAAGAACUCCGAUUGCGAAGGCAGCUUACUGGACUGCCACUGACAUUGAUGCUCGAAAGUGUGGGUAUCAAACAGGAUUAGAUACCCUAGUAGUC